Molecule: ribosomal RNA, 556 nt
Filed under: Fusarium oxysporum
Lineage: Eukaryota; Fungi; Ascomycota; Sordariomycetes; Hypocreales; Nectriaceae
Description: eukaryotic LSU rRNA
Rfam family: 5.8S ribosomal RNA (bases 201-354)
Source: RNAcentral
AAGUAAAAAGUGUAACAAGGUCUCCGUUGGUGAACCAGCGGAGGGAUCAUUACCGAGUUUACAACUCCCAAACCCCUGUGAACAUACCACUUGUUGCCUCGGCGGAUCAGCCCGCUCCCGGUAAAACGGGACGGCCCGCCAGAGGACCCCUAAACUCUGUUUCUAUAUGUAACUUCUGAGUAAAACCAUAAAUAAAUCAAAACUUUCAACAACGGAUCUCUUGGUUCUGGCAUCGAUGAAGAACGCAGCAAAAUGCGAUAAGUAAUGUGAAUUGCAGAAUUCAGUGAAUCAUCGAAUCUUUGAACGCACAUUGCGCCCGCCAGUAUUCUGGCGGGCAUGCCUGUUCGAGCGUCAUUUCAACCCUCAAGCACAGCUUGGUGUUGGGACUCGCGUUAAUUCGCGUUCCCCAAAUUGAUUGGCGGUCACGUCGAGCUUCCAUAGCGUAGUAGUAAAACCCUCGUUACUGGUAAUCGUCGCGGCCACGCCGUUAAACCCCAACUUCUGAAUGUUGACCUCGGAUCAGGUAGGAAUACCCGCUGAACUUAAGCAUAUCAAU